UAUUUGGUAAUUACUUUUCUUGUGAAUAUAUUUAAAUUCUUAUAUUAUUCCAAAUCAUUUUUGUUUUUUUCCUAUAGUGGUGUUCGUCCAUUUGGUGUUUCUUUACUCAUUUGUGGGUGGAAUGAGGGACGACCAUAUUUAUUUCAGUCAGAUCCAUCUGUAAGUAUCAUUACAUAUAUUUGAAAUAUUUAUUAGAAUUGUUUUUUAUACAUGUAAUAAAAGUAGAAACCAUAAAACUUUAAUAUUUAGCAGUAUUUUCCUUCUUUUUCUCUUGUUUUUAAAGGUUUGGUUUUACCUUGAAUUAAUGUGUAUUCUUGUGUGUCUGCGGGUGUAUGCAUGCGACUGACUGCAGGUACUUGAGGAGUCAGAUCCCACUAAGGCUGGAGUUAAGGUCCGGGGCCGGCACUCAAGUCCGCUCUGAGAGCAGGAUGGGCUCCUCUCUCUCCCUCAGCCAUUUCUCAAGCUGCUUUUUUUUUCUUUCUUUUUCUUUUUCUUUCUUUUUUCUUUUUAAAGACAGUAUAAGGUAGUACAUAUUUGUUUGCUCAUUCAUCAUUUUUAUAGUGCUGUCUUUGAUAAGCUAUAUGAUACACUAGAUUUCACCAUUUUUUGGUCAUGUUCUUUAGCAUGUACUAGAAUGCACAUGUACUAGUUUUUGUAGUUAUCAAAUUUCAUUAGGCCUCUUGAACUCUGUUACUUUGUGACUCUGUUCCCUUGGCAAACACUUGAGUCGGAUGUAUAACAGGAGGCCAGUGUUAUAAUGUUUGUCAUCAAUUUGAUGACAGCUGGGAUUUACAAGGCGUCUUGAUCGCUCUGUCUUUUCUUUUUUAAAAAAAUACUAUUUAUGUCUUUAUUUUAUUUAUAUGAGUACACUGUAGCUGUCUCAGACACACCAAAAGAGUGCAUGGGAUCCCAUUACAGAUGGUUGUGAGCCACCAUGUGGAUGCUGGGAAUUGAACUCAGGACCUCUGGAAGAGCAGUCAAGUGCUCUUAACCACAGAGCCAUCUCUCCAGCCCUGAGCUGUUUUUUCCAAAGCAGAAAGUGAUAUCUGGAUCUGGGUUUAUUCUACCCAGGUUUAUUGUUGCAUUUGCUGUGAGGAGAAGCCCAAGAAAAAGUUCAAGGUUAAGCAGUGAAGUUUUGUUUAUUAGAUAAGUACAAGUCCUCCUGAUGCAAGCCUUAUAAAUAUCUUACAAAUUAAAAUGGCAAAACAAAAGUAACCGAAUUUUGAGUCCAUCUGUGAGCUUCUGAAGCUAAAUGUCUGGUCUGUGGUCUGGCCUUCCUGGCCAGCUGAGGGCAGUCCCUUGGGACUGUGUUCACACUUUGCUGUCCUUUUCUGUACUGUAUACUAUACUCUAACAAGAUAUACCCCCGAUAAGCUUUCCUCUCAUUUUUACAUUCAUGUUUGCUUUUCCCAGAUGUGGCUGUUACACAUAGGGCUUCUCAAACAUUCUACUUGCCCCCCUUUUCACCUGGGAAAGUAAUUGUAACCAUGGUAAAUAUAAAAUACGCAAGUAAAUACACAAGU
Molecule: long non-coding RNA, 1523 nt
Filed under: Mus musculus (house mouse)
Lineage: Eukaryota; Metazoa; Chordata; Mammalia; Rodentia; Muridae
Description: long non-coding RNA chr13:14620647-14622170
Source: RNAcentral